Molecule: long non-coding RNA, 554 nt
Organism: Myotis brandtii (Brandt's bat)
Lineage: Eukaryota; Metazoa; Chordata; Mammalia; Chiroptera; Vespertilionidae
Exons: 2
Source: RefSeq, a predicted model, not a curated record
AGUAACUUAAAACAUGUAUGUAGAAACUGUACUGAUCUCUUUGGGUCUGGGAGAGAUGGUUCAAAUACUUGUUAAGGAGAGGGCCGUUUGGCAUGCUGGGGCUGGAGCAGCCAGCCAGAGGGAAGUGGCUCAUUUGUUACCAGCCUUCUAUCAUCUGCCUCUCUCCUGCCUCCGGAUCCUCCAAAGCCAGAGCAUCCCCCCGUGCCCCGUUGGAGUUGGUGUCUUUGCUGAGGUCACCCAAAAUGCAAGAGGGGAUUGCGCCACCACGUGUGGUCACACUUCCUGUCCUGCAAACUGGCUUCAUGAGUAAUUUCUGUUUCUUCCUCCUCCCACAGGGACUUCCUUCCCCGAGGUUCGGGAAUUGUCACCCGGCGGCCUCUCAUUCUGCAGCUCAUCUUCUCAAAAACAGCAGCAUCCCUGCCAUUUCUUCUUUAAUCACAACAUUGACUUUUGGGAGAGACCCGCAGAAGGAAUUCCUUUUUUUUUUCUUUCUUGUGAAUUUCAGUUGCUUGAAUUGAAUAAAGAAUCUUCCACAUGUAGAUUUUUUUUUUCCU